UUGGCGGACGGGUGAGUAACGCGUGGGUAACCUGCCUUACACAGGGGGAUAACACUUAGAAAUAGGUGCUAAAACCGCAUAAGCGCACAGCUUCGCAUGAAGCGGUGUGAAAAACUCCGGUGGUGUAAGAUGGACCCGCGUCUGACUAGCUUGUUGGCGGGGUAACGGCCCACCAAGGCGACGAUCAGUAGCCGGCCUGAGAGGGCGGACGGCCACAUUGGGACUGAGACACGGCCCAGACUCCUACGGAAGGCAGCAG
This 259-nucleotide ribosomal RNA is filed under the name uncultured bacterium. RNAcentral describes it as "partial 16S ribosomal RNA". It matches the Rfam family "Bacterial small subunit ribosomal RNA", at positions 95 to 354 of the family's 1533-position model. The record is from RNAcentral.